AAAGGAAUAGACGGGGACCCGCACAAGCAGCGGAGCAUGUGGUUUAAUUCGAAGCAACGCGAAGAACCUUACCAGGUUUUGACAUAGGAGUGACCGGAUCAGAGAUGAUCCUUUUCUUCGGAACACUCCAUACAGGUGGUGCAUGGUUGUCGUCAGCUCGUGUCGUGAGAUGUUGGGUUAAGUCCCGCAACGAGCGCAACCCCUAUCCUUAGUUGCCAGCAGGUCGAGCUGGGCACUCUAAUGAGACUGCCGCGGACAACGCGGAGGAAGGCGGGGAUGACGUCAAAUCAUCAUGCCCCUUAUAACCUGGGCUACACACGUGCUACAAUGGUUCGGAACAGAGAGAAGCGAGACCGCGAGGUGGAGCGAAUCUUUUAAAACGAAUCUCAGUUCGGAUUGCAGGCUGAAACCCGCCUGCAUGAAGUUGGAGUUGCUAGUAAUCGCGGAUCAGAAUGUCGCGGUGAAUGCGUUCCCGGGUCUUGUACACACCGCCCGU
This 496-nucleotide ribosomal RNA is filed under the name uncultured bacterium. Its description in RNAcentral is "bacterial SSU rRNA". It matches the Rfam family "Bacterial small subunit ribosomal RNA", at positions 903 to 1397 of the family's 1533-position model. The record is from RNAcentral.